Molecule: non-coding RNA, 91 nt
Filed under: Methanocella conradii HZ254
Lineage: Archaea; Methanobacteriati; Methanobacteriota; Methanomicrobia; Methanocellales; Methanocellaceae
Description: L4-Archaeoglobi ribosomal protein leader
Rfam family: L4-Archaeoglobi ribosomal protein leades
Source: RNAcentral
CUGACGGAAACGCAUGGGUCGAUGUCGGAAGCGACAGCCCGGCAAUGCUCCCCGACGCAAAAGUCGAGAAGGGGCAGCGCGUGACAGUCAG